This 951-nucleotide long non-coding RNA is filed under the name Hordeum vulgare. RNAcentral describes it as "long non-coding RNA (HVUL_LNC012234)". The record is from RNAcentral. Lineage: Eukaryota; Viridiplantae; Streptophyta; Magnoliopsida; Poales; Poaceae.
UUAAGUUGUGAAUCUUACAAACUAAUAAUCAUCAUCAGUAAAUGCAUCAUCAUCAUCACUAUCACGCAUGUCUUCAUGAAUGACGUGCACAUCGGGCGAAUAAACUAACAGAAUCUACCACUAAAUCUACUAAUUAACUAACAGAAUCUACCACUAAAACUACUAAUUAAUUCCAAAAAACUAAAUACCAAACAUGUGAUCUUCUUUUUGUCUUCUCCUCCUCCUAUUCUUCUUCUUCUUCUUCUCCUCCUCCUCCUCUUCUUCUUCCUAUUCUUUCUAGUAAGCUAACUAACUAACUAACCUAACUAACCAAGCUAACUAAACCUAUCGCUAAACCUAGAUAGCACUAAACAGCAAAAAAAUAACAAAAAAAGAAUCUACCACUAUAACAAAAACAGAAUCUACCACUAAGUAACUAAAAAAGAAUCUAGCUACCACUAAAUACCAAACAAUAAAAAAUCAACUUCUUCUUCUUUUUUCUCUUCUUCUCCGUCUUAUUUUUUUCUUAGUGUCUUCUUCUCUUCUUCUUUACUUCUUCUCCUUUUUUUUUCUUCUCUUCUUCUUCUUUUUCUUCUUCUUCUCCUUCUUAUUUUUUCUUCUCCUAUUCUUCUUCUUUUUCUUCUCCUCCUCCUCCUCCUCCUACUCCUCUUCUUCUUCUCCUCUUCUUGUCCUCCUCCUCCUCCUCUUUUCCUCUUCUCCUCCUAACUAAAUCUACUAACCUAACUAAAACUACUAACCUAACUAAAUCUACUAACCUAACUAAAACUACUAACCUAACUAAAUCUACUAACCUAACUAAAACUACUAACCUAACUAAAUCUACUAACCUAACUAAAACUACUAACCUAACUAAAUCUACUAACCUAACUAAAACUACUAACCUAACUAAAUCUACUAACCUAACUAAAACUACUAACCUAACUAAAUCUACCACUAAAACUACUAACAAUA